AUAUCAAUAAGCGGAGGAAAAGAAACCAACAGGGAUUGCCCUAGUAACGGCGAGUGAAGCGGCAAUAGCUCAAAUUUGAAAGCUGGCCUUCUGGUCCGCAUUGUAAUUUGUAGAGGAUGCUUUUAGGCAGCCGCCGGUCUAAGUUCCUUGGAACAGGACGUCAUAGAGGGUGAGAAUCCCGUAUGUGACCGGCUCUGGCACCUUCUGUAAAGCUCCUUCGACGAGUCGAGUUGUUUGGGAAUGCAGCUCUAAAUGGGAGGUAAAUUUCUUCUAAAGCUAAAUACUGGCGAGAGACCGAUAGCGCACAAGUAGAGUGAUCGAAAGAUGAAAAGCACUUUGGAAAGAGAGUUAAAAAGCAC
This 359-nucleotide ribosomal RNA is filed under the name uncultured fungus. RNAcentral describes it as "eukaryotic LSU rRNA". It matches the Rfam family "Eukaryotic large subunit ribosomal RNA", at positions 40 to 398 of the family's 3401-position model. The record is from RNAcentral. Lineage: Eukaryota; Fungi.